Molecule: ribosomal RNA, 748 nt
Filed under: Moraxella sp. VT-16-12
Lineage: Bacteria; Pseudomonadati; Pseudomonadota; Gammaproteobacteria; Moraxellales; Moraxellaceae
Description: bacterial LSU rRNA
Rfam family: Bacterial large subunit ribosomal RNA
Source: RNAcentral
UUGCCAUGGAGCCAACCUUGAAAUACCACCCUGGUUAUGUUGGGGUUCUAACUUGAGAUUAACAGAUCUAAGGACAAUGUAUGGUGGGUAGUUUGACUGGGGCGGUCUCCUCCUAAAGAGUAACGGAGGAGUACGAAGGUGCGCUCAGAACGGUCGGAAAUCGUUCAAAGAGUAUAAAGGCAAAAGCGCGCUUAACUGCGAGACCCACAAGUCGAGCAGGUACGAAAGUAGGUCUUAGUGAUCCGGUGGUUCUGUAUGGAAGGGCCAUCGCUCAACGGAUAAAAGGUACUCUGGGGAUAACAGGCUGAUACCGCCCAAGAGUUCAUAUCGACGGCGGUGUUUGGCACCUCGAUGUCGGCUCAUCUCAUCCUGGGGCUGAAGCAGGUCCCAAGGGUAUGGCUGUUCGCCAUUUAAAGAGGUACGCGAGCUGGGUUUAGAACGUCGUGAGACAGUUCGGUCCCUAUCUACCGUGGGCGUUGGAAAUUUGAGAGGAUCUGCUCCUAGUACGAGAGGACCAGAGUGGACGAACCUCUGGUGUUCCGGUUGUUACGCCAGUAGCAUUGCCGGGUAGCUAUGUUCGGAUGGGAUAACCGCUGAAAGCAUCUAAGCGGGAAGCCCACCUCAAGAUGAGAUUUCCCUAAAGAGCCGUUGUAGACUACGACGUUGAUAGGUUGGGUGUGGAAGUGUAGUGAUACAUGUAGCUAACCAAUACUAAUUGCUCGUUUGGCUUGACCAUACAACACCCAAG